AAGUCGUAACAAGGUUCCCGUAGGUGAACCUGCGGAAGGAUCAUUAACACUUUUUGAAAGAUUUCAUUUUUCUUUUUCGAAAAUGAAAUUUUACUUUACCCACAUUUUUGGAUGAAUUAACUUUUAUUAACCCUUUAUAAUUUUUAUACCCCAAAAAACAAAACUAAUACUAUUAUUUCUAACAUUUAUUUAAGAAAAACAUAAAAAAACAACUCUUAACAACGGAUAUCUAGGCUCUC
RNAcentral lists this unclassified non-coding RNA (239 nucleotides) under fungal sp. RNAcentral's name for it is "partial internal transcribed spacer region". The stretch from base 1 to 46 matches the Rfam family "Eukaryotic small subunit ribosomal RNA", at positions 1786 to 1831 of the family's 1831-position model. Lineage: Eukaryota; Fungi. The record is from RNAcentral.